This 498-nucleotide ribosomal RNA is filed under the name uncultured bacterium. RNAcentral describes it as "bacterial SSU rRNA". It matches the Rfam family "Bacterial small subunit ribosomal RNA", at positions 30 to 518 of the family's 1533-position model. The record is from RNAcentral.
UGAACGCUGGCGGCAGGCCUAACACAUGCAAGUCGAACGGUAACAGGAAGAAGCUUGCUCUUGCUGACGAGUGGCGGACGGGUGAGUAAUGUCUGGGAAACUGCCUGAUGGAGGGGGAUAACUACUGGAAACGGUAGCUAAUACCGCAUAACGUCGCAAGACCAAAGAGGGGGACCUUCGGGCCUCUUGCCAUCGGAUGUGCCCAGAUGGGAUUAGCUAGUAGGUGGGGUAACGGCUCACCUAGGCGACGAUCCCUAGCUGGUCUGAGAGGAUGACCAGCCACACUGGAACUGAGACACGGUCCAGACUCCUACGGGAGGCAGCAGUGGGGAAUAUUGCACAAUGGGCGCAAGCCUGAUGCAGCCAUGCCGCCGUGUAUGAAGAAGGCCUUCGGGUUGUAAAGUACUUUCAGCGGGGAGGAAGGGAGUAAAGUUAAUACCUUUGCUCAUUGACGUUACCCGCAGAAGAAGCACCGGCUAACUCCGUGCCAGCCGCGGC